This 676-nucleotide long non-coding RNA is filed under the name Phoenix dactylifera (date palm). RNAcentral's name for it is "long non-coding RNA (PDAC_LNC003026)". The record is from RNAcentral. Lineage: Eukaryota; Viridiplantae; Streptophyta; Magnoliopsida; Arecales; Arecaceae.
GUGUGUCGGUGCCAAAAGAGAGAGCGAGGAUAGCAAGGGAGUGGGCUGUGGUAACGGCGAGGUUGACGGAAGUGAUGAGAAAUCUCGGCUGUUCGACGAAAUGCCUAAAAGAGGUUCUCCAUUAGUGCUGAUUGGAUUGGAGUUUGCUUCCCGGGGGGGUGGGCUUUUAGGCUUGGACUAGUUGGGUUGGGCUGUCCUAUUUUGUUGGGCUCCCCUCCUUCCCUCUCUCUCCCGCUACCCCCCUCCUUUGCACUUAUUUCGUCUCUAAUAAAAUCUAUGGCACUGUAUUGUUCAAAAAAAAUAAUGUUGGAGGUUAAAUUGUAAAAAACAUUUUUUUUCUCAUCCCAAAUGGCAGAUGGCAUGUAUCUCAAUUUAAAUACUUUAUUUUGUAUUUAGUAUACUAGUAUAAUAAAAACCAUUUAUUUUGUAUCCGCAAUCUGCAUAAAUUAGAAAUUAUCAAAAUACAUAAUUUCGAUUUCUAGAUAUUUUAACAUUAUAAAUAAUGAUCAAUAAUAUAAAUCUUCAAUUUGAAUGUCUUAUUGUUGAUUUUGAAAUUUAAAAAGGCAUAUACCUUCUUUUCUUUAAAGGAGUAAAAUCUGUUCUUACAUACCUUGUUUAAUAUGAGAUUGGGCUGGUAUUUGGAAAUCUUGACAGACUGCAAAUAUUUCAAGAACAU